Hydra vulgaris (swiftwater hydra) is the source of this 227-nucleotide long non-coding RNA. RefSeq lists it as uncharacterized. The record is from RefSeq and is a predicted model, not a curated record. Lineage: Eukaryota; Metazoa; Cnidaria; Hydrozoa; Anthoathecata; Hydridae.
UGCACUUUUAGAAAUGAUUUUAAAAGUUUAACGUCUGCCAGAUGUUUAUCUUUUGAAUCAUAAGCUAUGUGAUGCAGUGAUGAAUAAAGAUUUUAUAAAUCAAGCAACAAAAUUUGAAGAGCUUUAAUUGUUGCUGGACCAAUCGCACCGAUUCGGGAAAAGAAGACCUGAAUUUUUUGCUUAUAUUUUUUGAUAUUUAUAAAUGUAAAUAAAUUUGUUCAUUCUGA